RNAcentral lists this unclassified non-coding RNA (259 nucleotides) under Hevea brasiliensis (rubber tree). Lineage: Eukaryota; Viridiplantae; Streptophyta; Magnoliopsida; Malpighiales; Euphorbiaceae. The record is from RNAcentral.
GGGAAAAUAAGCUCUGGAGACAAAUGAAAAAAAUUGUUCCCUAACAGUCAUGAUCAUAAACCAAUAUGCUGUACUAUUGUAUGCUUAUCCCUUCUGAACACCUAUGCCUUGCUACUUUUCCUGAACUGCUUAAUUCCAAGCAGUGCCUAAUGGAGAAGCAGAGAAACAUAUGGUCUACCUCCCUCUUUAUCUGGAAGCCUUACCUCCAAAACAACCAUAUUAAUAUGUACAAAAUGGUUACCCAGAGUUACCAGCAACC